This 250-nucleotide ribosomal RNA is filed under the name uncultured bacterium. Its description in RNAcentral is "partial 16S ribosomal RNA". It matches the Rfam family "Bacterial small subunit ribosomal RNA", at positions 779 to 1027 of the family's 1533-position model. The record is from RNAcentral.
UAGAUACCCUGGUAGUCCAUGCCUUAAACGAUGCAUACUAGAAGUAAGAGGGCUCAACCCCCCUUGUUUCGGAGCUAACGCAUUAAGUAUGCCGCCUGGGGAGUACGCUCGCAAGGGUGAAACUCAAAAGAAUUGACGGGGGCCCGCACAAGCAGUGGAGCAUGUGGUUUAAUUCGAUGCAACGCGAAGAACCUUACCUGGGCUUGAAAUUUAGAGGACGACAUCAGAGAUGAUGUUUCCCGAAAGGGUC